CCUACGGGUGGCAGCAGUGAGGAAUAUUGGUCAAUGGACGAGAGUCUGAACCAGCCAAGUAGCGUGAAGGAUGACUGCCCUAUGGGUUGUAAACUUCUUUUAUAUGGGAAUAAAACAGGGUAUGCAUACCUUUUUGUAUGUACUAUAUGAAUAAGGAUAGGCUAACUCCGUGCCAGCAGCCGCGGUAAUACGGAGGAUCCGAGCGUUAUCCGGAUUUAUUGGGUUUAAAGGGAGCGUAGGUGGGUUGUUAAGUCAGUUGUGAAAGUUUGCGGCUCAACCGUAAAAUUGCAGUUGAAACUGGCAGUCUUGAGUACAGUAGAGGUAGGCGGAAUUCGUGGUGUAGCGGUGAAAUGCUUAGAUAUCACGAAGAACUCCGAUUGCGAAGGCAGCUCACUAGACUGCGACUGACACUGAUGCUCGAAAGUGUGGGUAUCAAACAGGAUUAGAUACCCGAGUAGUC
This 460-nucleotide ribosomal RNA is filed under the name uncultured bacterium. RNAcentral's name for it is "partial 16S ribosomal RNA". It matches the Rfam family "Bacterial small subunit ribosomal RNA", at positions 338 to 795 of the family's 1533-position model. The record is from RNAcentral.